CUGAGCUCGACCGACUGCGGUAGCUUGCUCCCUUAGAGUCAGCGGCGGACGGGUGAGUAACACGUGGGUAACCUGCCUGUAAGACUGGGAUAACUCCGGGAAACCGGGGCUAAUACCGGAUGCUUGAUUGAACCGCAUGGUUCAAUUCUAAAAGGGGGCUUUUAGCUACCACUUUCAGAUGGACCCGCGGCGCAUUAACUAGUUGGGGAGGUAACGGCUCACCCAGGGGACCAUGCGUAACCCAACUGAAAGGGUGAUCGGCCACCCUGGGACUGAAACACGGCCCAAACUCCUACGGGAGGGAGCAGUAGGGAAUCUUCCGCAAUGGACGAAAGUCUGACGGAACAACCCCCCGUGAGUGAUGAAGGGUUUCGGAUCGUAAAACUCUGUUGUUAGGGAAGAACAAGUACCGUUCGAAUAAGGCGGUACCUUGACGGUACCUAACCAGAAAGCCACGGCUAACUACGUGCCAGCAGCCGCGGUAAUACGUAGGUGGCAAGCGUUGUCCGGAAUUAUUGGGCGUAAAGCGCGCGCAAGCGGUUUCUUAAGUCUGAUGUGAAAGCCCCCGGCUCAACCGGGGAGGGUCAUUGGAAACUGGGGAACUUGAGUGCAGAAGAAGAGAGUGGAAUUCCACGUGUAGCGGUGAAAUGCGUAGAGAUGUGGAGGAACACCAGUGGCGAAAGCGACUCUCUGGUCUGUAACUGACGCUGAAGCGCGAAAGCGUGGGGAGCGAACAGAUUAGAUACCCUGGUAGUCCACGCCGUAAACGAUGAGUGCUAAGUGUUAGAGGUUUCCGCCCUUUAGUGCUGCAGCAACGCCAUAAGCACUCCGCCUGGGGAGUACGUCGCAGACUGAAACUCAAGAUGACGGGGCCGCACAGCGUGAGCAUGUGUAUCGAGCACGCGAGACUACAGUCUGACAUCUCUGA
This 928-nucleotide ribosomal RNA is filed under the name Bacillus licheniformis. Its description in RNAcentral is "bacterial SSU rRNA". It matches the Rfam family "Bacterial small subunit ribosomal RNA", at positions 62 to 993 of the family's 1533-position model. The record is from RNAcentral. Lineage: Bacteria; Bacillati; Bacillota; Bacilli; Caryophanales; Bacillaceae.